GGCAGCGGGAAAGUAGCUUGCUACUUUUGCCGGCGAGCGGCGGACGGGUGAGUAAUGCCUGGGGAUCUGCCCAGUCGAGGGGGAUAACUACUGGAAACGGUAGCUAAUACCGCAUACGCCCUACGGGGGAAAGCAGGGGACCUUCGGGCCUUGCGCGAUUGGAUGAACCCAGGUGGGAUUAGCUAGUUGGUGAGGUAAUGGCUCACCAAGGCGACGAUCCCUAGCUGGUCUGAGAGGAUGAUCAGCCACACUGGAACUGAGACACGUUCCAGACUCCUACGGGAGGCAGCAGUGGGGAAUAUUGCACAAUGGGGGAAAUCCUGAUGCAGCCAUGCCGCGUGUGUGAAGAAGGCCUUCGGGUUGUAAAGCACUUUCAGCUAGGAGGAAAGGUUGGUAGCGAAUAAC
RNAcentral lists this ribosomal RNA (405 nucleotides) under uncultured bacterium. RNAcentral's name for it is "bacterial SSU rRNA". It matches the Rfam family "Bacterial small subunit ribosomal RNA", at positions 65 to 465 of the family's 1533-position model. The record is from RNAcentral.